UACGUAGGGGGCUAGCGUUGUCCGGAUUUAUUGGGCGUAAAGAGCGUGUAGGCGGCCAGGUAGGUCUGGUGUGAAAACUCGAGGCUUAACCUCGAGAUGUCAUCGGAAACCAUCUGGCUAGAGUCCGGAAGAGGCGAGUGGAAUUCCUGGUGUAGCGGUGGAAUGCGCAGAUAUCAGGAGGAACACCAAUAGCGAAGGCAGCUCGCUGGGACGUUACUGACACUGAGGCGCGAAAGCGUGGGGAGCGAACAGG
RNAcentral lists this ribosomal RNA (253 nucleotides) under uncultured bacterium. RNAcentral's name for it is "partial 16S ribosomal RNA". It matches the Rfam family "Bacterial small subunit ribosomal RNA", at positions 524 to 776 of the family's 1533-position model. The record is from RNAcentral.